RNAcentral lists this long non-coding RNA (1393 nucleotides) under Vulpes vulpes (red fox). Its description in RNAcentral is "lncRNA (ENSVVUG00000029128.1)". Lineage: Eukaryota; Metazoa; Chordata; Mammalia; Carnivora; Canidae. The record is from RNAcentral.
AUGCAUAGGGGGAUGAUGAGGUCGAAGGUCAUUUCCAACUCUAAGGGCUGGGGAGCAGGUAAGGAACCCGCGGCCGCCGUGUCGGAAGCAGCAGAGCAGAGGUCUGAGCCCAGGUCCACGGUCGUUACCCCGUUGCCACCUCCCCAGCUGAUGGGUCUCGGAAACGCCUGGACUCGAGGGGCCGGGACUGCGUGGGGCCGUCGUGAAGGACUUCUUACUGUCCCAGGGGCCCAACGUGGCACAUCCGUUCCAGAAGGGUUUCCGGGGGCGAGGCGCAUCUGGCCUGCACUUGCACAGCCUGAGAGUAAGAACAGUUGGCACACUUGUGAAGGGUUGGCAGAAACACAAAAAUGUGUAACAGAGGCCGAAUGUGGCCGCCAGAGCCCCACGUAGUAGGCCCGUGUCUGCAGGACACGCCUGCUGGGCCUGGGACGAGCGGGGGAUCCCCGCAUCCGAGGUCCCUGACCCCCCGAGCCAUCCUGCGCCCCAGGUCACGCAGCUGAGCUGGGAAGCACCCGCAGGCUGACUCUCCGGCCCGGGGCUGUGGGAGACCACCCUGGGGCCCGGGAAGGAGGUGUUGGCGCUGCUGUGGGAGGUGGGGCGGUGGAGAGGCUCCCGCUGUGAGUGUCAGCGGGGAGCAGUCAGGGGACCCCACUGUCGCGCCCACCAGCACACCCAGAGCAGGAGCCCCGGGGCUGCUAGAGCCCGUGGCCCAGCCUGGCCUCAGGGCCCGGGUGGCUAUUCCUGCGUCCCCUUCUUGGGAGACCUCCGUUGGCGUCCAGAGACACGGGACAGCCCAGCUUGGCUCAGACAAGCCUGAGUGUCUCUGGGGCUCCCCAGGCAGGGGGAGGGCGCGAUGCCGUCGGAUGGGCAGGGACAGUGCCUGCCCCCACCCGGCCUGGGGCUCCCGGCCUGCCUCACUCCUGCACAUUUGCCAACGGAACCGGUCACCUAGGCCACCGCCCUGCACACUGGAUGUGCCUGUGCCCCAUGGCCCCGCCAGCCCCGCCGCUCUGGCUUCAGAGUCUGGGCAGGGGCAUCCUAGUGGCCGAGGGAGGCCUGGAGGCAGCCUGGCAGGCCUGGAGGGCAGUGAGGCGGGGGCCCCGAGACUCACAGCUGGGUUCAGAUGCUGGGUGGUCAGAGGCCAGACAGAAGGACAGCUGUCCGCCCCAGACACACCGGCAGUGACCUAGAGGGACAGAGAGUGCCCGUCACAGGGCAGCUUUGCCUCAGCCGGCCCGAGUCCCCUCCUCCACGAGGACCUGCGACCUCGACAGCAGGACCAAUAGUAUGACUGCUGAGCGCUAAGCUCAGUGCUGUCCCCGACCACCCACAGCCGUUCCCGGGGCCCGCCACCACCCUCUGGCUCACCGGAUGCAGGGCCGGCGUCCAG